Molecule: non-coding RNA, 77 nt
Organism: Podarcis lilfordi (Lilford's wall lizard)
Lineage: Eukaryota; Metazoa; Chordata; Lepidosauria; Squamata; Lacertidae
Source: the annotation of a GenBank genome assembly
GCAAGGGCCAUUGCUCAGUGGUAGAGUGUCUGCUUUCAAUGUAUAUGGUCCCAGGUUGGACCCCUGAUCUGACUGUA